RNAcentral lists this ribosomal RNA (429 nucleotides) under uncultured archaeon. RNAcentral's name for it is "bacterial SSU rRNA". It matches the Rfam family "Archaeal small subunit ribosomal RNA", at positions 474 to 903 of the family's 1478-position model. The record is from RNAcentral.
UACCUGCAGCUCGAGUGGUAACCGCUAUUAUUGGGCCUAAAGCGUCCGUAGCCGGUUUGGUAAAUAUCUGGGUAAAUCGUGAGGCUUAACUUCACGAAUUUCGGAUAGACUGCCAGACUUGGGAUCGGGGGAGGUCAGAGGUACUCCAGGGGUAGCGGUGAAAUGUUGUAAUCCUUGGAGGACCACCGGUAGCGAAGGCGUCUGACUAGAACGAGUCCGACGGUGAGGGACGAAGCUCUGGGGCGCAAACCGGAUUAGAUACCCGGGUAGUCCAGGGUGUAAACGAUGUGGGCUUUGUAUUGGAGGUCCCACGUGGGCGUCCAGUGCAGAAGAGAAGUUGUUAAGCCCACCGCCUGGGAAGUACGGUCGCAAGGCUGAAACUUAAAGGAAUUGGCGGGGGAGCACAGCAACGGGAGGAGCGUGCGGUUU